This 2956-nucleotide long non-coding RNA is filed under the name Salmo salar (Atlantic salmon). RNAcentral's name for it is "lncRNA (ENSSSAG00000091667.1)". Lineage: Eukaryota; Metazoa; Chordata; Actinopteri; Salmoniformes; Salmonidae. The record is from RNAcentral.
GUUGGUGUUGUCUGUACUGUCAUGGUGGUUUCAGAGAGGGUUAGUUGGUGUUGUCUGUACUGUCAUGGUGGUUUCAGAGAGGGUUAGUUGGUAUUGUCUGUACUGUCAUGGUGGUUUCAGAGAGGGUUAGAUGGUGGUUGUCUGGGGUUGGUAGAUGAGGUGAGAUUAGCUUGGCGUCUGUGAACUGUAGUGUUAUUGUUCUAAGAUUGUAGAGUGGCGUGAUGGAUGGAUGGAUGGAUGGAUGGAUAGGUGGUGGGAGUACAUUAUUAGAAGGAUUCCACAGGUUGUUGUGGUAGAUAAGAUGUAUCAGUCACUGUCUGACAGUGGAUAGGAUGUUUGCUGUAGUGUUGUUAGUGGAGGUUAGGACUAGUAACAGGGAUGUUGUAGUGUUUGUGGAGGUUAGGACUAGUAACAGGGAUGUUGUAGUGUUAGUGGAGGUUAGGACUAGUAACAGGGAUGUUGUGGUGUAGGUGUAGGUUAGGACUAGUAACAGGGAUGUUGUGGUGUUAGUGGAGGUUAGGACUAGUAAGAGGGAUGUUGUAGUGUUUGUGGAGGUUAGGACUAGUGACAGGGAUGUUGUGGUGUUGGUGUAGGUUAGGACUAGUAACAGGGAUGUUGUGGUGUUGGUGGAGGUUAGGACUAGUAACAGGGAUGUUGUAGUGUUUGUGGAGGUUAGGACUAGUAACAGGGAUGUUGUAGUGUUGGUGGAGGUUAGGACUAGUAACAGGGAUGUUGUAGUGUUAGUGGAGGUUAGGACUAGUAACAGGGAUGUUGUGGUAUUGGUGGAGGUUAGGACUAGUAACAGGGAUGUUGUAGUGUUAGUGGAGGUUAGGACUAGUAACAGGGAUGUUGUAGUGUUGGUGGAGGUUAGGACUAGUAACAGGGAUGUUGUGGUGUUGGUGUAGGUUAGGACUAGUUACAGGGAUGUUGUAAUGUUAGUGGAGGUUAGGACUAGUAACAGGGAUGUUGUAGUGUUGGUGGACGUUAGGACUAGUAACAGGGAUGUUGUGGAGGUUAGGACUAGUAACAGGGAUGUUGUAGUGUUAAUGGAGGUUAGGAUUAGUAACAGGGAUGUUGUGGAGGUUAGGACUAGUAACAGGGAUGUUGUAGUGUUUGUGGAGGUUAGGACUAGUAACAGGGAUGUUGUGGAGGUUAGGACUAGUAACAGGGAUGUUGUGGAGGUUAGGACUAGUAACAGGGAUGUUGUAGUGUUGGUGGAGGUUAGGACUAGUAACAGGGAUGUUGUAGUGUUGGUGGAGGUUAGGACUAGUAACAGGGAUGUUGUGGUGUUGGUGGAGGUUAGGACUAGUAACAGGGAUGUUGUGGAGGUUAGGACUAGUAACAGGGAUGUUGUAGUGUUAAUGGAGGUUAGGAUUAGUAACAGGGAUGUUGUGGAGGUUAGGACUAGUAACAGGGAUGUUGUAGUGUUUGUGGAGGUUAGGACUAGUAACAGGGAUGUUGUAGUGUUUGGAGGUUAGGACUAGUAACAGGGAUGUUGUAGUGUUUGUGGAGGUUAGGACUAGUAACAGGGAUGUUGUGGUGUUUGUGGAGGUUAGGACUAGUGACAGGGAUGUUGUGGUGUUAGUGGAGGUUAGGACUAGUGACAGGGAUGUUGUGGUGUUAGUGGAGGUUAGGACUAGUAACAGGGAUGUUGUAGUGUUAGUGGAGGUUAGGACUAGUAACAGGGAUGUUGUAGUGUUAGUGGAGGUUAGGACUAGUAACAUGGAUGUUGUGGAGGUUAGUGGAGGUUAGGACUAGUAACAGGGAUGUUGUAGUGUUAGUGGAGGUUAGGACUAGUAACAUGGAUGUUGUGGAGGUUAGUGGAGGUUAGGACUAGUAACAGGGAUGUUGUAGUGUUUGGAGGUUAGGACUAGUAACAGGGAUGUUGUAGUGUUCGUGGAGGUUAGGACUAGUAACAGGGAUGUUGUAGGGUUAGUGGAGGUUAGGACUAGUAACAGGGAUGUUGUAGUGUUUGGAGGUUAGGACUAGUAACAGGGAUGUUGUAGUGUUUGUGGAGGUUAGGACUAGUAACAGGGAUGUUGUAGUGUUUGGAGGUUAGGACUAGUAACAGGGAUGUUGUGGUGUCGGUGUAGGUUAGGACUAGUAACAGGGAUGUUGUAGUGUUCAUUGAGGUUAGGACUAGUAACAGGGAUGUUGUAGUGUUAGUGGAGGUUAGGACUAGUUACAGGGAUGUUGUAGUGUUCAUUGAGGUUAGGACUAGUAACAGGGAUGUUGUAGUGUUCAUUGAGGUUUGGACUAGUAACAGGGAUGUUGUAGUGUUAGUGGAGGUUUGGACUAGUGACAGGGUUACAGAGCCAUGGUGGUGUUGAUGUUGUCUCUAUGGAAGUGCUGCCCUGGAAGAGCAAGGUAUUCAUCCAGUGUUGUAGACCCAGCCGUGCAUUUCUCUCUCUGUCAUUUUCUGUCUCUUUCUGUCUGUCUCUCUUUGUCGCUCUCUCUUUCUCUCGCUCUCCCUCCUUCUCUCUCUUCAUCUGUCUCUCGGCCUUUCGCUCUAUCUCGCCCUCUGUGUGUUAGUGAUUACAUCACUCGCCCUCUCUGUCUCUUUCUCUCUCUCUCUCUCUCUCUCUCUCUCUCUCUCUCUCUCUCUCUCUCGCCAUCUCUGUGUCUCUCUCUCGCCCUCUCUGUCUCUCUCUCUCUCUCUCUCUGCCUCUUGCAUAACUGCCAGCUUUAUUUGCUCCAGCUGAGGACUAAUCUUUCCCGCGAGACAGACGGAAGGAACAAGGGAGAGGAGGAGAGCAGGACAAGCCAACCUUUCUAACCUGACUGGACGCUCUGCCUCGUUAAUUCAAUCAGUCCACAAAUUAAUGGGCUUUAGAGCAGAGCCCUGUUUACAACCACCGUGACCUGUGUGUUUAUGUAGCGGUGUUUUUAAUCUUUAAAACCCCACAACCUUCUCCAACUGUAGCUGAGUUGACGCGUGGUUUCCCAUCAUCUGUGU